GAAAUGCGAUAAUUAAUGUGAAUUGCAGAAUUCAGUGAAUCAUCGAGUCUUUGAACGCACAUUGCGCCCCCUGGUAUUCCGGGGGCAUGCCUGUCCGAGCGUCAUUGCUGCCCUCAAGCACGGCUUGUGUGUUGGGCUUCUGUCCCUGGCAACGGGGACGGGCCCAAAAGGCAGUGGCGGCACCAUGUCUGGUCCUCGAGCGUAUGGGGCUUUGUCACCCGCUCCCGUAGGUCCAGCUGGCAGCUAGCCUCGCAACCAAUCUUUUUAACCAGGCUGACCUCGGAUCAGGUAGGGAUACCCGCUGAACUUAAGC
This 313-nucleotide unclassified non-coding RNA is filed under the name plant metagenome. Its description in RNAcentral is "partial contains 5.8S ribosomal RNA, internal transcribed spacer 2, and large subunit ribosomal RNA". The stretch from base 1 to 104 matches the Rfam family "5.8S ribosomal RNA", at positions 50 to 154 of the family's 154-position model. The record is from RNAcentral.